This 77-nucleotide transfer RNA is filed under the name Actinomyces sp. RNAcentral describes it as "tRNA-Lys". It matches the Rfam family "tRNA". Rfam says of the family: Transfer RNA (tRNA) molecules are approximately 80 nucleotides in length. Their secondary structure includes four short double-helical elements and three loops (D, anti-codon, and T loops). Further hydrogen bonds mediate the characteristic L-shaped molecular structure. tRNAs have two regions of fundamental functional importance: the anti-codon, which is responsible for specific mRNA codon recognition, and the 3' end, to which the tRNAs corresponding amino acid is attached (by aminoacyl-tRNA synthetases). tRNAs cope with the degeneracy of the genetic code in two manners: having more than one tRNA (with a specific anti-codon) for a particular amino acid; and 'wobble' base-pairing, i.e. permitting non-standard base-pairing at the 3rd anti-codon position. RNAcentral also lists the same sequence under 5 other names. The record is from RNAcentral. Lineage: Bacteria; Bacillati; Actinomycetota; Actinomycetes; Actinomycetales; Actinomycetaceae.
GCCCCUCUAGCUCAGUUGGUCAGAGCUGCGGACUUUUAAUCCGAAGGUCGUGGGUUCGAGCCCCACGGGGGGCACCA